RNAcentral lists this ribosomal RNA (1669 nucleotides) under Flavobacterium denitrificans DSM 15936. Its description in RNAcentral is "bacterial LSU rRNA". It matches the Rfam family "Bacterial large subunit ribosomal RNA", at positions 565 to 2238 of the family's 2925-position model. The record is from RNAcentral. Lineage: Bacteria; Pseudomonadati; Bacteroidota; Flavobacteriia; Flavobacteriales; Flavobacteriaceae.
UACAAGCGGUCGGAGCCCUUUAGUGGGGUGACGGCGUGCCUUUUGCAUAAUGAGCCUACGAGUUAACGUUGCUGGCAAGGAUAAGUGCUUAAGGCAUGGAUCCGCAGCGAAAGCGAGUCUGAAUAGGGCGCUUUAGUCAGCAGUGUUAGACGCGAAACCGUGUGAUCUACCCAUGGGCAGGUUGAAGCUGUGGUAACACACAGUGGAGGACCGAACCGGUUGACGUUGAAAAGUCUUCGGAUGACCUGUGGGUAGGGGUGAAAGGCCAAUCAAACUCGGAAAUAGCUCGUACUCCCCGAAAUGCAUUUAGGUGCAGCGCUGGCGAUAGUUAUAUAGAGGUAGAGCUACUGAUUGGAUGCGGGGGCUUCACCGCCUACCAAUUCCUGACAAACUCCGAAUGCUAUAUAAUGUUUCCCAGCAGUGAGGGCUUGGGUGCUAAGGUCCAAGUCCGAGAGGGAAAGAACCCAGACCAUCAGCUAAGGUCCCCAAAUAUAUGCUAAGUUGAAAGAACGAGGUUUGUCUGCCCAGACAGCUAGGAUGUUGGCUUGGAAGCAGCCAUUCAUUUAAAGAGUGCGUAACAGCUCACUAGUCGAGCGGACGAGCAUGGAUAAUAAUCGGGCAUAAGCAUAUUACCGAAGCUAUGGAUUUGCAAGCAAUUGCAAGUGGUAGGGGAGCAUUCUGACAGGGCUGAAGGUGUGCCGCAAGGCAUGCUGGACUGGUCAGAAAAGAAAAUGUAGGCAUAAGUAACGAUAAUGCGGGCGAGAAACCCGCACACCGAAAAACUAAGGUUUCCACAGCUAUGCUAAUCAGCUGUGGGUUAGUCUGGUCCUAAGGCGAACCCGAAAGGGACAGUCGAUGGCCAACGGGUUAAUAUUCCCGUACUGCUAAUUACUGUGAUGGGGUGACGGAGUGAUGAAAGCGCCGCGAACUGACGGAAUAGUUCGUUGAAGUACCUAGCUAUAUUCUUUGUAGGCAAAUCCGCAGAGAAUGGUGAAAUACGAUAGUACUCGGAGUCUUCGGACAAAGAGAUAGCGCGCCUAAGGGCUUCCAAGAAAAACCUCUAAACUUCAGGUAGUUAGUACCAGUACCGCAAACCGACACAGGUAGUUGAGGAGAGAAUCCUAAGGUGCUCGAGAGAUUCAUGGCUAAGGAAUUAGGCAAAAUAGACCUGUAACUUCGGGAGAAAGGUCGCCCCGAGCAAUCGGGGCCGCAGUGAAGAGGUCCAGGCGACUGUUUAUCAAAAACACAGGGCUCUGCAAAAUCGCAAGAUGAAGUAUAGGGCCUGACACCUGCCCGGUGCUGGAAGGUUAAGAGGAGAUGUUAUCUUCGGAGAAGCAUUGAAUUGAAGCCCCAGUAAACGGCGGCCGUAACUAUAACGGUCCUAAGGUAGCGAAAUUCCUUGUCGGGUAAGUUCCGACCUGCACGAAUGGUGUAACGAUCUGGACACUGUCUCAGCCAUGAGCUCGGUGAAAUUGUAGUAACGGUGAAGAUGCCGUUUACCCGCAGUGGGACGAAAAGACCCUGUGCACCUUUACUAUAGCUUAGUAUUGACCUUGGAUAAAUGAUGUGUAGGAUAGGUUGGAGACUAUGAAGCGGCGUCGCCAGGCGUUGUGGAGUCAUUGUUGAAAUACAACCCUUUGUUUAUCUGAGGCCUAACCCCGCGUUGUGG